Molecule: long non-coding RNA, 366 nt
Filed under: Neodiprion pinetum (white pine sawfly)
Lineage: Eukaryota; Metazoa; Arthropoda; Insecta; Hymenoptera; Diprionidae
Description: uncharacterized LOC124223268
Source: RNAcentral
UCAUUUUUGCCAUCCAAGAGUGUGAAUUCACAAGUUGGAAGGGGGUUGGCGAGUAACAAAGGCAUGCAGCGUCCAGCCAAAGAAAACAAAGAAACUAUUAUUCUAGAAGACUUCCAUAGAGAGCUACUAAUCACUAUUAGCAAAAGUUACCACACGACCCAAGAGGUCGAAUAACGACUCAAGUUCAUCGAAGACUCACUAAAAGCAAAGGAGUUACACCUUCCAGGGGCUCAAAAUAACGGUCAUGGUGCGGACGGAGACGCACUUGAAGCUAUGUUGCCAUUGGGGACUCUUCUAGAAUUUGAUGAAUUCGAUAAUAAAUUGCGAGAAAAGGAAUUUGCAUCACGAGUGGUAAGAGAAUCUGUU